Molecule: long non-coding RNA, 1028 nt
Organism: Aphis gossypii (cotton aphid)
Lineage: Eukaryota; Metazoa; Arthropoda; Insecta; Hemiptera; Aphididae
Exons: 2
Source: RefSeq, a predicted model, not a curated record
AUAUGUAACUACUACUUACGAGUACACAACCUGUUUACAAUAUACAAUGAUACAUAGGUACUAAUAUCAUUACAUACAUUACACACAAAUGAAAACAAAACAAUAAAAACGUAAUUAACUCAUAGAUCAGAGACCAUCAUUGUAUUUAAGUUAAUACAAAUAAUUAAAAAUAAUUAUGAAAAAUAACAAAAGAAUUAUGCACACUGCAAUAAAUUAAUAAAACUGAUGUAGGUUAUAGGUACCUAAUAUAAUUAAUUAUAAAUAAUAAUAAUAUUUAUAAUCAAUAUUCAAUGCUAAUAUAUAUAUAUAUAUAAUAAUAACGUAAAAAAUAACGGUACUUGAGUUGUUCGAACCUGGCCAAUGUUCGCGCGCUUGUCGCAGAAUUUCGCCUAAAAACAAGUGUUAUAACCUAUAUAUACCUACCCGACAGACAACAGCUGUCGCACCCUCUGCCCCCCGCGCCGUGCGUUUUUAUCGCACUCGUCGCCAUUGUCGGCGCGAACCGGCUUUUUUCUUUGCGGUCAACUGGCACUUGCCUUUGCACCUCGCAUCUGUCGAGUUCGCGACGUGACUGUGGUCACCACAAGUGCGCCUUAACCGUGUGUUGUGUGCGAGUCGGAACCCGGUAGAUACUUCUUAUACGGUAACUCCCGUUCGUGGGGUAUCCGACCGCCACAUAUCUUCUGCUGCCGUUGCUGAGGUCCAGAACUCAGAAGCCACACGGGUCAUACAUUUUUGGCGCCACGGACGUGUCAGUUUUGCCGGUCCUAGCCAUCUUGGAGGAAAGUCACGUGGUGUCCGUCGGUCCGGUAUUAUUUUUAUAUUAUUGUAAAAUCAUAUACUCAUCUACUUUUAUUCUAUAAGUUGUCCAAAAUCUUUACGGUAGCUGAGUUAUUCGGUAUCGUUGUUAUUAUAUUGUAUUGUUUUUAAUUAUACCAUUUUGUUAUAUUGUUAUACUACUGUGGGGACGCCCGCAUCAUAAUUAUUAUUGAUAUUUUGCUGUAUUAUAUAUAUAUUAAUUCGUAGAA